CCUAUCCUUUAACCCCCCAUGGAAGAAGAAGAAGGUGUUUCCGUACCAUUAUAGAGUGUUCUGUUCUUUAAGAUGAAUUUCCAUUAUCUGGGUUCUUGUAUUUGAAGCUAAUUUAAUAUAAAUGGCGAAACUUUUGGGAUUUUCAAAAGGAGAUUGAGAAAUAGUACAAUAAUGGAAUGUAUUGGAGCUCAGAACAUAGCAGCAAUCACAGUCUCUACGUCCUUUAACUGGAGAUGUAGAACCAGGAGACUGAAAAACAAACAGACUCGUACAUGGCGUAGUAACCGUGAUCCACGCGUGCUGUCUCUUAGAGUAAGGUCGGUUGCCAAUAGUGAAAGUCGCGUCGCGGUAAAAGAAAACUAUGAGGAUGAAGAAGAUUUGAUCAAAGCUGGCGGUUCUGAACUUUUGUUCGUGGAAAUGCAGCAGAAUAAACCCAUGGAUAAUCAGUCUAAACUGGCUGAUAAGUUACCUCAAAUAACAGUUGGUAAUUCUGUAAUGGAUUUGGUAGUCAUUGGUUGUGGUCCUGCUGGUCUUGCUCUUGCUGCUGAAUCAGCUAGAUUAGGUCUGAAGGUUGGACUUAUUGGUCCAGAUCUUCCAUUCACGAACAAUUAUGGUGUGUGGGAGGAUGAAUUCAGAGGUCUUGGACUUGAAAGAUGCAUUGAACAUGUUUGGCCAGAUACAGUAGUGUACCUUGAUGACAGUGAUCCUAUUUUAAUUGGUCGUGCAUAUGGUCGUGUCAGUCGAAAUUUGCUUCACGAGGAACUAUUAAAAAGGUGUACAGAGGCGGGCGUCUCAUAUCUUAGCUCAAAAGUGGAAAGAAUUGUUGAAUCUAGUGAAGGGUAUAGUCUGAUAGAGUGUGACCAAGGUAUCGUUGUUCCUUGCAGGCUUGCUACUGUUGCAUCCGGAGCAGCAUCAGGGAAACUCUUGCAGUAUGAGGUGGGGGGUCCAAGGGUUUCAGUCCAAACAGCUUAUGGUGUAGAAGUCGAGGUAGAAAACAGUCCAUAUGAUCCCAAGCUGAUGGUAUUCAUGGACUACAGAGAUUAUACAAAACGAAAAACUCAGACUUUAGAAGAACAGUAUCCCACAUUUCUUUAUGUCAUGCCCAUGUCACCCACACGAAUCUUCUUUGAGGAAACUUGUUUGGCUUCGAAAGAGGCGAUGCCUUUUGAUCUAUUGAGGAGAAAGCUCAUGUCAAGAUUAGAGACAAUGGGAAUUCGAAUAUUAAAAACUUAUGAAGAGGAAUGGUCCUAUAUUCCAGUUGGGGGAUCCUUACCUAACACAGAUCAAAAGAAUCUUGCAUUUGGUGCAGCUGCCAGUAUGGUCCAUCCAGCCACAGGUUAUUCGGUUGUAAGAUCAUUAUCAGAAGCUCCAAAACAUGCUACAGCAAUAGCAAAUAUCUUGAGGAAUAGUCAUUCGAAGGAAUUGCUUUCCUCUUCCACCACGGCACUGAAUAUUUCUACUCAAGCUUGGAAAAGCCUGUGGCCACAAGAAAAGAAGCGACAACGAGCAUUCUUUCUGUUCGGGCUAGCUCUUAUUUUGCAAUUAGAUAUUGAAGGCAUUCAGACAUUCUUCAAAACUUUCUUCCGUUUACCCAACUGGUGAGAUAAUUAGCUUUAGUUUGGUAGUGUUUUUGUGUUGAAGUGAGUGGCUGAUCAAUGAAAAUUUUGGGCAGGAUGUGGAAGGGUUUUCUAGGGUCGAGUCUGUCGUCAAGAGAUCUGGUAUUGUUUGCCUUUUACAUGUUCGCAAUUGCUCCAAACCAGCUGAGAAUGAGCCUAAUCAAGCAUCUUUUGUCUGACCCUACUGGAGCCACUAUGUUGAGAACAUAUCUCACCAUAUCUGGCUAGCAGCGGAUGUAAACAAACUAUGGAGGAAAUGAAAGAUGGUUUUGACUUACGAGAUAACAAUGGUUUUGACUUACGAGAAUGACUGCGAAGAUAACAUACAUCCCAUUCAAUGAUUAUUAAAUCAAAGAAUUAAAAUGUUCAAGGGGAGACUUUUCAUUUCAUAUUCUAGGCCCUUUCAUUUCAUAUUAUUAGACUUUUCAUUUUAGCUGUUUGGUUUAAUAAUAAAAUACAGGUUUAUUGGAGGAUGUUGUCUAUCUCGAACAAUUUAAACAUAGUCAACUUCAUUAUGACAGUUACAACACAAUAGAAUUGUGUUUUUAUAGUAAUAUGUUUCAAUUUCAUUUUGUUGAUAUUACAUAA
Impatiens glandulifera is the source of this 2204-nucleotide RNA transcript. It is a transcript of the gene named lycopene epsilon cyclase, chloroplastic, with no coding region annotated. The transcript has 11 exons. The record is from RefSeq and is a predicted model, not a curated record. Lineage: Eukaryota; Viridiplantae; Streptophyta; Magnoliopsida; Ericales; Balsaminaceae.